RNAcentral lists this ribosomal RNA (548 nucleotides) under uncultured Glomus. RNAcentral describes it as "SSU rRNA". It matches the Rfam family "Eukaryotic small subunit ribosomal RNA", at positions 548 to 1098 of the family's 1831-position model. The record is from RNAcentral. Lineage: Eukaryota; Fungi; Glomeromycota; Glomeromycetes; Glomerales; Glomeraceae.
UUGGAGGGCAAGUCUGGUGCCAGCAGCCGCGGUAAUUCCAGCUCCAAUAGCGUAUAUUAAAGUUGUUGCAGUUAAAAAGCUCGUAGUUGAAUUUCGAGACUGGUUUAUUGGUCGUGCUUUUGUACGUACUGGUAUUAUUGGUUUCUCCUUUCUGACGAAUCAUAAUGCCAUUAAUUUGGUGUUUUGGGGAAUCAGGACUGUUACUUUGAAAAAAUUAGAGUGUUUAAAGCAGGCUCACGCUUGAAUACAUUAGCAUGGAAUAACGGAAUAGGACGUUUGAUUCUAUUUUGUUGGUUUCUAGGAUCGACGUAAUGAUUAAUAGGGAUAGUUGGGGGCAUUAGUAUUCAAUUGUCAGAGGUGAAAUUCUUGGAUUUAUUGAAGACUAACUACUGCGAAAGCAUUUGCCAAGGAUGUUUUCAUUAAUCAAGAACGGAAGUUAGGGGAUCGAAGACGAUCAGAUACCGUCGUAGUCUUAACCAUAAACUAUGCCGACUAGGGAUCGGAUGAUGUUGAUUUUUUAAUGACUCAUUCGGCGCCUUACGGGAAAC